GACGAACGCUGGCGGCGUGCUUAACACAUGCAAGUCGAACGGAAAGGCCCUGCUUUUGUGGGGUGCUCGAGUGGCGAACGGGUGAGUAACACGUGAGUAACCUGCCCUUGACUUUGGGAUAACUUCAGGAAACUGGGGCUAAUACCGGAUAGGAGCUCCUGCUGCAUGGUGGGGGUUGGAAAGUUUCGGCGGUUGGGGAUGGACUCGCGGCUUAUCAGCUUGUUGGUGGGGUAGUGGUUUACCAAGGCUUUGACGGGUAGCCGGCCUGGGAGGGUGACCGGCCACAUUGGGACUGGGAUACGGCCCAGACUCCUACGGGAGGCAGCAGUGGGGAAUAUUGCACAAUGGCGGAAGCCUGAUGCAGCAACGCCGCGUGCGGGAUGACGGCCUUCGGGUUGUAAACCGCUUUCGCCUGUGACGAAGCGUGAGUGACGGUAAUGGGUAAAGAAGCACCGGCUAACUACGUG
This 467-nucleotide ribosomal RNA is filed under the name uncultured bacterium. Its description in RNAcentral is "partial 16S ribosomal RNA". It matches the Rfam family "Bacterial small subunit ribosomal RNA", at positions 28 to 507 of the family's 1533-position model. The record is from RNAcentral.